UUGGGGGGUCCCUUAACUAUAGAAGAAUGCACUAAAGCAAUAUUCAACAUGAAAUUAAAUAAAUCUCCAGGAAUAGAUGGGUUAAGCGUAGAAUUUUAUCGCACUUUUUGGAGUAAUUUAAAAGAAUUUACAGUUGAAGUUUUUAAUAAAUGCUAUGAUGACGGAGAACUAACAACUAUACAAAAGAUAGGUAUCAUCUCUUUAAUUUACAAAAAAAAAGACCCUUUGUCACUGGAUAAUUAUAGACCAAUUACGCUAUUAAAUGUAGACACUAAACUCAUUGCAUAUGCAAUAGCCCAGCGCUUAAAACCAAUACUGCUGAAAAUAAUUCAUGGAGAUCAAAAUGGGUAUAUCAAAAAUAGAUAUAUUGGUUUUAAUAUACGCCAAAUCCAAGACAUUAUAGACUAUGCUGAAACUUUUAACAUAGAUGGUGCAUUACUCUUUAUUGAUUUUUCAAAAGCUUUUGAUUCGCUAGAAUGGGACUUUAUGUAUGAAGCCCUUAUAAAAUUUGGUCUACCAAACUCUUUUAUUAAAUGGGUUAAAACAUUAUAUAAGAAUAUUAAAGGCUGCAUGCUAAAUAAUGGGUGGAUUUCAGAAACUUACAAUGUAUCUCGCGGGAUACGUCAAGGCUGUCCGUGCAGCUCUCUAAUUUUCACAAUAGCAGUAGAAAUUCUUGCAUGCAAAAAUAAGACAAGAUACUGGUAUUAAGGGAUUUCAAAUAAAAUUAGAUUCCAAAACACAUAGUCUGAAAAUCUCACAAUUAGCCGAUGACACAACUCUUUUUUUAAAAUGCAAG
RNAcentral lists this long non-coding RNA (796 nucleotides) under Mytilus galloprovincialis (Mediterranean mussel). Lineage: Eukaryota; Metazoa; Mollusca; Bivalvia; Mytilida; Mytilidae. The record is from RNAcentral.